RNAcentral lists this ribosomal RNA (253 nucleotides) under uncultured bacterium. RNAcentral describes it as "partial 16S ribosomal RNA". It matches the Rfam family "Bacterial small subunit ribosomal RNA", at positions 524 to 776 of the family's 1533-position model. The record is from RNAcentral.
UACGGGGGGUGCGAGCGUUGUCCGGAAUCACUGGGCGUAAAGGGCGCGUAGGUGGUUUGAUAAGGGUGUGGUGAAAGUCCGGGGCUCAGCCCCGGAUCUGCCGUGCCGACUGUCAAACUCGAGGGCUGUAGAGGCAGACGGAAUUCCGGGUGUAGCGGUGGAAUGCGUAGAGAUCGGGAAGAACAUCAGUGGCGAAGGCGGCCUGCUGGGCUGUUGCUGACGCUGAGGCGCGACAGCGUGGGGAGCAAACAGG